CCUACGGGGGGCAGCAGUGGGGAAUAUUGGACAAUGGGGGGAACCCUGAUCCAGCCAUGCCGCGUGUGUGAAGAAGGCCCUCGGGUUGUAAAGCACUUUCAGUGAGGAAGAACGCCUGGUGGUUAAUACCCAUCAGGAAAGACAUCACUCACAGAAGAAGCACCGGCUAACUCCGUGCCAGCAGCCGCGGUAAUACGGAGGGUGCGAGCGUUAAUCGGAAUUACUGGGCGUAAAGCGCGCGUAGGUGGCUUGAUAAGCCGGUUGUGAAAGCCCCGGGCUCAACCUGGGAACGGCAUCCGGAACUGGCAAGCUAGAGUGCAGGAGAGGAAGGUAGAAUUCCCGGUGUAGCGGUGAAAUGCGUAGAGAUCGGGAGGAAUACCAGUGGCGAAGGCGGCCUUCUGGACUGACACUGACACUGAGGUGCGAAAGCGUGGGUAGCAAACAGGAUUAGAUACCCGUGUAGUC
Molecule: ribosomal RNA, 465 nt
Filed under: Vreelandella stevensii
Lineage: Bacteria; Pseudomonadati; Pseudomonadota; Gammaproteobacteria; Oceanospirillales; Halomonadaceae
Description: partial 16S ribosomal RNA
Rfam family: Bacterial small subunit ribosomal RNA
Source: RNAcentral